This 643-nucleotide ribosomal RNA is filed under the name Youngia japonica. RNAcentral describes it as "eukaryotic LSU rRNA". The stretch from base 262 to 417 matches the Rfam family "5.8S ribosomal RNA". Lineage: Eukaryota; Viridiplantae; Streptophyta; Magnoliopsida; Asterales; Asteraceae. The record is from RNAcentral.
UCGAACCUGCAUGGCAGAAUGACCCGUGAACAUGUAAAAAUACUACUGGGUGAUGGGGAGACGGUCCUUGGUCUUGAUCCUCAAUGCCUCCCGACUUGUGUGCAUGGUGUCUUGUACAGGCCACCAUGUAUGUCUCGUUGGACCAAUAACAAACCCCGGCACGGAAUGUGCCAAGGAAAUGAAAAAAUAGAGAAGGACUUGUCCUGUUAAUGCCCCGUAUGCGGUGUGCUUACAGGUCGUGGCCUCCUUGGAAUCAUAAACGACUCUCGGCAACGGAUAUCUCGGCUCACGCAUCGAUGAAGAACGUAGCAAAAUGCGAUACUUGGUGUGAAUUGCAGAAUCCCGUGAACCAUCGAGUUUUUGAACGCAAGUUGCGCCCAAUGCCAUUUGGUUGAGGGCACGCCUGCCUGGGCGUCACGCAUCGCGUCGCCCCCUUUCCAUACUUCCUUAACCGGUACAUCUGGUGCUGGGGGCGGAGAUUGGCCUCCCAUGCCUGUGGUGUGGCUGGCCUAAAGAGUUGUCCCAUUUGGUGGACACACGGUUAGUGGUGGUUGUAUAGACCCUCGUCUUGUCCCGUGUGUCGUUAGCCUCUAGGGACAUAUUGAAAAGACCCUACUGUAUUGUCUCUAGAUGAUACUUCGAC